This 510-nucleotide ribosomal RNA is filed under the name uncultured bacterium. RNAcentral's name for it is "bacterial SSU rRNA". It matches the Rfam family "Bacterial small subunit ribosomal RNA", at positions 29 to 518 of the family's 1533-position model. The record is from RNAcentral.
AACGAACGCUGGCGGCGUGCUUAACACAUGCAAGUCGAACGCGAAAGGGGACUUCGGUCCUGAGUAAAGUGGCGCACGGGUGAGUAACGCGUAGAUAACCUGUCUUCAUGUCUGGAAUAAUACGCCAAAGGGGUACUAAUACCGGAUAUUCUUGCUUUUCAUAAGUUAUGCAAGCAAAGGUGGCCUCUGCAUAUGCUACUGCAUGAAGAGGGGUCUGCGUACCAUUAGCUAGUAGGUGGGGUAAUGGCCUACCUAGGCGACGAUGGUUAGCGGGUCUGAGAGGAUGAUCCGCCACACUGGCACUGGAACACGGGCCAGACUCCUACGGGAGGCAGCAGUGAGGAAUAUUGCGCAAUGGGGGAAACCCUGACGCAGCGACGCCGCGUGAGUGAGGAAGGCCUUCGGGUCGUAAAGCUCUGUCAAGAGGAAAGAAGUGUACAAUGGCUAAUACCUGUUGUAUUUGACGGUACCUCUAAAGGAAGCACCGGCUAACUCCGUGCCAGCCGCCGC